RNAcentral lists this long non-coding RNA (434 nucleotides) under Vitis vinifera (wine grape). RNAcentral's name for it is "long non-coding RNA (VVIN_LNC004026)". Lineage: Eukaryota; Viridiplantae; Streptophyta; Magnoliopsida; Vitales; Vitaceae. The record is from RNAcentral.
CCGAGAAAGUGAAGACAAACGGAAGAAACUGAAAAUCUAAAUCUUGUAAUUUCUGCUGUUUGAAACCAGAGAAACCAAAAUUUCCACUCGACUUAAUCCUAACCAAUAACUUGGUUCAGCUCAAGUUCGUGUUUCCACUUGUUCUCAUUUUCCAAAGAAGCAAAAACCUAGGAUUCAAAAUUUUCUUUUCUUUUUUUUCCUUUCCUCACCAACAGAUGAAGAACGCUCCUAAUUCUUAUUAUUUUUACAAAUUUCAUUUCAAAAACGUCUCUAUAGAUCUUAAUCUAGGUUUAAAUGUUCUAAAUGUUGUAUAGAUCUGGCUAUUAUAGUGGUGUUUUCUUUCUGAUAUAUUAUCCAGACACUUGAGUUUCCAAAGCUUUUCGUUUCAAGUACGAAGACUUGGCAGUUUUACGGUUCUUUAGCUGUCUAUGCGC